RNAcentral lists this long non-coding RNA (1290 nucleotides) under Phascolarctos cinereus (koala). RNAcentral's name for it is "lncRNA (ENSPCIG00000035425.1)". Lineage: Eukaryota; Metazoa; Chordata; Mammalia; Diprotodontia; Phascolarctidae. The record is from RNAcentral.
AAUACAUAAAUUUUAAUUUUAUUAAAAUGUCAAAUUAUAGAUUUAAAAUUAUCCAAUAAUCCUAAAUGCUCAGAAAAUAAUUUAUUUUGACUAUCAAAAUGUUUUCCUCCUCUUCCCCACAAUAUAAGGUAUGCCUAGGCCUCUUCUUCCUUUGAAAGAGAUCAGCUUUCCAUAAAAGGAAAGAAAGCUGUUCUUGGGACUUGCUUGGCCCUCCUGGCUUCCCUAAAACAGCUUUCUGGUGACCAACAGGUAUAAAAGUCCCAGCCUGUAAAUCACUGUGCUCUUUACCAUAUCCUGCCCUGAUGAUCAGAUGGUGGGUUUCCACAUGGAGAUGAGGGGAACCAAGUCCAGAGAGAAUCUAAGUUCAUUGUAUCCUUGUUGCAUAUCUUUGCUGUGUUAGGGCAAAGUAGACCUUUUGUUGAUUGUCCAGUGACUCACUUUGUUGCAACAUCUAAUUUGAACUAGAAGUGCUAGUUCUAGAACUUCCUCAGACAACAGAGAUGGGCUAAAAGAAACACUGCACAAUGACUUAAGAUGUUUUGAAAAUACAGUCUUCAUGAGUUUGUGUAGUCAUUAGAAGCUGGACUUUAUCUCAUGAAUAUUUUCAAAGACAUUUUUCUUAAAAAAUGAAAAAAAUAUAAACCAUAUAGAUACAUUUAUAAUCUUGGAAUGUCUUUAGCUCCUGAGGAAAGAUGCUACAGCUGACCCUGUAUUCUUCCUGAUCCUGCCUUCGGAUAUAUGCCUUACAGUUUGACUCACGUACUUGUUCCAGUGAAACUUCCCAGGAUGGACCUGGCCUAAAUCACAAGUAUGUGGAGACCAGGGAGACAGAGAAGGGGCAGUCACACAGAAAAGAGAGAGAGAGAGAACUGAUACCAAGGAAGAAGAGACUAACCAAAAGAGUUGGAUGUCAAUAAUGUUUAGAGCUUCAGAGAAGUAACAAGAGGAUGAAGACAGAGACAAGAGAGGAUGAUGGUGAUACGAUGAUGAUGAGGAGGAGGAGGAGGAGGAGGAGUAUAGGGCAAGAUCCUGGAAGAAAAGGGGGGCAACAAAGUUCCAACCUUUGGGGUCCUGAUCAAAUGCAGUCAACAGUCUUCUAAGUCUACCCUCCUUGUACUCUUACAAUCCAGUGACAUUGACCUCCUGGCUAUUCCUCAAAUGAGAAGAAGGGAAACAAACUGCUAUGAUCCUGCCAUCAUGCUGAAGUGCUUUACAAAUAUCUUAUUUGAUCCUCUCAACAACCUUGGGAGGUAGGUGCUAUUGUUAUCCCCAUUUUACAGUUGGGAAAAU